GAACUUGCCUCUUGGACUGGGACAACUGUUGGAAACGACAGCUAAUACCGGAUAUUAUGAGAUUCUCGCAUGAGAAACUUAUGAAAGCUAUAUGCGCCAAGAGAGAGCCUUGCGUUCCAUUAGCUAGUUGGUGGGGUAACGGCCCACCAAGGCGACGAUGGAUAGCCGGCCUGAGAGGGUGAACGGCCACAAGGGGACUGAGACACGGCCCUUACUCCUACGGGAGGCAGCAGUGGGGAAUAUUGGACAAUGGGCCACAAGCCUGAUCCAGCAAUUCUGUGUGCACGAUGAAGGUCUUCGGAUUGUAAAGUGCUUUCAGUUGGGAAGAAGAAAGUGACGGUACCAACAGAAGAAGCGACGGCUAAAUACGUGCCAGCAGCCGCGGUAAUACGUAUGUCGCAAGCGUUAUCCGGAUUUAUUGGGCGUAAAGCGCGUCUAGGCGGAAAAAUAAGUCUGAUGUUAAAAUGCGGGGCUCAACUCCGUAUUGCGUUGGAAACUGUUUUUCUAGAGUACUGGAGAGGUGGGCGGAACUACAAGUGUAGAGGUGAAAUUCGUAGAUAUUUGUAGGAAUGCCGAUGGAGAAGUCAGCUCACUGGACAGAUACUGACGCUGAAGCGCGAAAGCGUGGGGAGCAAACAGG
This 640-nucleotide ribosomal RNA is filed under the name uncultured bacterium. Its description in RNAcentral is "bacterial SSU rRNA". It matches the Rfam family "Bacterial small subunit ribosomal RNA", at positions 122 to 776 of the family's 1533-position model. The record is from RNAcentral.